This 253-nucleotide ribosomal RNA is filed under the name uncultured bacterium. Its description in RNAcentral is "partial 16S ribosomal RNA". It matches the Rfam family "Bacterial small subunit ribosomal RNA", at positions 524 to 776 of the family's 1533-position model. The record is from RNAcentral.
GACGAACCUUGCAAACGUUAUUCGGAAUCACUGGGCUUAAAGGGUGCGUAGGCGGCGCGGUAAGUUGGGUGUGAAAUACCUCGGCUCAACCGAGGAACUGCGCUCAAAACUACCGUGCUUGAGGGAGAUAGAGGUGAGCGGAACUUAGGGUGGAGCGGUGAAAUGCGUUGAUAUCCUAAGGAACACCCGUGGCGAAAGCGGCUCACUGGAUCUCUUCUGACGCUGAGGCACGAAAGCUAGGGGAGCGAACGGG